RNAcentral lists this ribosomal RNA (329 nucleotides) under Bacillus sp. 1a-2 (13). RNAcentral describes it as "bacterial SSU rRNA". It matches the Rfam family "Bacterial small subunit ribosomal RNA", at positions 1102 to 1432 of the family's 1533-position model. Lineage: Bacteria; Bacillati; Bacillota; Bacilli; Caryophanales; Bacillaceae. The record is from RNAcentral.
CCCUUGAUUUUAGUUGCCAGCAUUCAGUUGGGCACUCUAAGGUGACUGCCGGUGACAAACCGGAGGAAGGUGGGGAUGACGUCAAAUCAUCAUGCCCCUUAUGACCUGGGCUACACACGUGCUACAAUGGAUGGUACAAAGGGCUGCAAACCUGCGAAGGUAAGCGAAUCCCAUAAAGCCAUUCUCAGUUCGGAUUGCAGGCUGCAACUCGCCUGCAUGAAGCCGGAAUCGCUAGUAAUCGCGGAUCAGCAUGCCGCGGUGAAUACGUUCCCGGGCCUUGUACACACCGCCCGUCACACCACGAGAGUUUGUAACACCCGAAGUCGGUG